GUCAUGUUCCCCAUGUUCCAGGAGCUUGCACCAGACAACCCAGAUGACAAGUGUGGUCACCACUACGCGAUUUGCCUUAACCUGAAGAACCAACGAUUUGAGGUGCUUGAUUCAAUGCUUUCAGAAGCUGACGAAGACCUUACUACACAUGCUGAAUUUUUCAUCAACAACCUCAAAGAGAUAUGGUACCGUCACUACGAAAACUCAAAGGUCCAGAUCAGUCAUUUCCCAAUCGAGUAUGUCGCGACUACGAAGCAAGGAAACCGGCAUGACCGUGGCUUUCACACGUUGGAAUACCUUGCAAAGUGGGAAGGUCGACGGGUCCCUGUCAUCACAGCUGCAAUGGUCGUUGAGCUCCGCAAAAUAUACACAUGGAACUGGUUGAUGAAUGAAGAUUUCAACACGUGGGCCAACGCACGAGAGUUCACAGAGGAAGCUAUCAAA
Molecule: ribosomal RNA, 444 nt
Filed under: Triticum aestivum (bread wheat)
Lineage: Eukaryota; Viridiplantae; Streptophyta; Magnoliopsida; Poales; Poaceae
Description: partial small subunit ribosomal RNA
Source: RNAcentral